GAUGAACGCUGGCGGCGUGCUUAACACAUGCAAGUCGAACGAAGCACCUUGAUUUGAUUCUUCGGAUGAAGAUCUUGGUGACUGAGUGGCGGACGGGUGAGUAACGCGUGGGUAACCUGCCUCAUACAGGGGGAUAACAGUUAGAAAUGACUGCUAAUACCGCAUAAGACCACAGCACCGCAUGGUGCAGGGGUAAAAACUCCGGUGGUAUGAGAUGGACCCGCGUCUGAUUAGGUAGUUGGUGGGGUAACGGCCUACCAAGCCGACGAUCAGUAGCCGACCAAAGAGAGGGGGCGGACAAGAGGAGAGUGAGACACGGCGCAGACGCGCACGAGGGGCCGCCGUGGGGAAUAUAGGAAAAUGGAGAGAAAGCUGAUGCAGCGACAGCGAGGGAGCGAGGAAGUGUAUCAGUAAGUAAAGCUCUAUCAACAGGGAAGAAAACGACGGUAAAAAACGAAGAAGCACCGGCAAAAUACGAG
This 479-nucleotide ribosomal RNA is filed under the name uncultured bacterium. RNAcentral's name for it is "partial 16S ribosomal RNA". It matches the Rfam family "Bacterial small subunit ribosomal RNA", at positions 28 to 507 of the family's 1533-position model. The record is from RNAcentral.